UUUGUAACGGAGCUUGGGUUAUGGUGUGGUAAAUAUAAACAAAAAGGAAAACAAGUGGUUUUGGGUUCAGAGCCAAUGUUCAUAUUCUUUUCAUUGUGUUUUAUUCUUUUCUUUUUCAAUUGCUCAGUUUUUCUUUGAUAUUUUCUCUUUUUUUUCAACUGAGUGUUCUUCCUUCGUCGAGUGCUUCUUUCGAACCAUCGACUAUAUUUUGUUUUCUCAAAUUUUUUAUGGUCGUUUUUUCUUCUUCUUUUUCUUCGUACUCAGCUUGGUUUUUG
RNAcentral lists this long non-coding RNA (275 nucleotides) under Lathyrus oleraceus (garden pea). Its description in RNAcentral is "Pisum sativum (pea) long non-coding RNA (PSAT_LNC013159)". Lineage: Eukaryota; Viridiplantae; Streptophyta; Magnoliopsida; Fabales; Fabaceae. The record is from RNAcentral.